RNAcentral lists this ribosomal RNA (503 nucleotides) under uncultured bacterium. RNAcentral's name for it is "partial 16S ribosomal RNA". It matches the Rfam family "Bacterial small subunit ribosomal RNA", at positions 30 to 523 of the family's 1533-position model. The record is from RNAcentral.
AUUGAACGCUGGCGGCAGGCUUAACACAUGCAAGUCGAGCGGAGUGAUGGUGCUUGCACUAUCACUUAGCGGCGGACGGGUGAGUAAUGCUUAGGAAUCUGCCUAUUAGUGGGGGACAACAUCUCGAAAGGGAUGCUAAUACCGCAUACGUCAUACGGGAGCAAGCAGGGGAUCACUUGUGACCUUGCGCUAAUAGAUGAGCCUAAGUCGGAUUAGCUAGUUGGUGGGGGAAAGGCCUACCAAGGCGACGAUCUGUAGCGGGUCUGAGAGGAUGAUCCGCCACACUGGGACUGAGACACGGACCAGACUCCUACGGGAGGCAGCAGUGGGGAAUAUUGGACAAUGGGGGGAACCCUGAUCCAGCCAUGCCGCGUGUGUGAAGAAGGCCUUAUGGUUGUAAAGCACUUUAAGCGAGGAGGAGGCUCUUUUGGUUAAUACCCAAGAUGAGUGGACGUUACUCGCAGAAUAAGCACCGGCUAACUCUGUGCCAGCCGCCGCAGUAA